UAGGGAAUAUUGGUAAUCUACGAAAGUGGGAACCAGCAACGCCGCGUGUGCGAUGAAGGCCUUCGGGUUGUAAAGCACUUUUUGAGGGGAUGAGGAAGGACAGUACCCUCAGAAUAAGCCUCGGCUAACUACGUGCCAGCAGCCGCGGUAAAACGUAGGAGGCGAGCGUUAUCCGGAUUUACUGGGCGUAAAGCGUGUGUAGGCGGUUUGAUAAGUUGGAUGUGAAAGCUCCUGGCUUAACUGGGAGAGGUCGUUCAAAACUAUCAGACUUGAGAGUGGUAGAGGGAGGUGGAAUUCCGCAUGUAGUGGUGAAAUGCGUAGAUAUGCGGAGGAACACCAGUGGCGAAAGCGGCCUCCUGGCCCAUUUCUGACGCUCAGACACGAAAGCUAAGGUAGCAAACG
RNAcentral lists this ribosomal RNA (402 nucleotides) under uncultured prokaryote. RNAcentral's name for it is "bacterial SSU rRNA". It matches the Rfam family "Bacterial small subunit ribosomal RNA", at positions 355 to 774 of the family's 1533-position model. The record is from RNAcentral.